Molecule: ribosomal RNA, 304 nt
Filed under: uncultured bacterium
Lineage: Bacteria
Description: bacterial SSU rRNA
Rfam family: Bacterial small subunit ribosomal RNA
Source: RNAcentral
AUUGAACGCUGGCGGCAUGCCUUACACAUGCAAGUCGAACGGCAGCACGGGAGCAAUCCUGGUGGCGAGUGGCGAACGGGUGAGUAAUAUAUCGGAACGUGCCCAGUCGUGGGGGAUAACGUAGCGAAAGCUACGCUAAUACCGCAUACGAUCUAUGGAUGAAAGCGGGGGAUCGCAAGACCUCGCGCGAUUGGAGCGGCCGAUAUCAGAUUAGGUAGUUGGUGAGGUAAAGGCUCACCAAGCCGACGAUCUGUAGCUGGUCUGAGAGGACGACCAGCCACACUGGGACUGAGACACGGCCCCA